This 372-nucleotide ribosomal RNA is filed under the name uncultured bacterium. Its description in RNAcentral is "bacterial SSU rRNA". It matches the Rfam family "Bacterial small subunit ribosomal RNA", at positions 524 to 898 of the family's 1533-position model. The record is from RNAcentral.
UACGGAAGGUCCGGGCGUUAUCCGGAUUUAUUGGGUUUAAAGGGAGCGUAGGCCGCUUUGUAAGCGUGUUGUGAAAUUUGCCGGCUCAACCGGUAACUUGCAGCGCGAACUGCAGAGCUUGAGUGUGCGCAACGUUGGCGGAAUUCGUCGUGUAGCGGUGAAAUGCUUAGAUAUGACGAAGAACUCCGAUUGCGAAGGCAGCUGACGGGAGCACUACUGACGCUGAAGCUCGAAAGUGCGGGUAUCGAACAGGAUUAGAUACCCUGGUAGUCCGCACGGUAAACGAUGGAUGCCCGCUGUUUGUACAUAGUUGCAAGCGGCCAAGCGAAAGCGUUAAGCAUCCCACCUGGGGAGUACGCCGGCAACGGUGAA